CUACGGGCUGCACCAGUGAGGGAUUUUGCGCAAUGGGGGGAACCCUGACGCAGCAACGCCGCGUGAGUGAAGAAGGCCCUUGGGUCGUAAAGCUCUGUCAACAGGGAAGAAGUUAUGGAUUUUUAAUAGAGAUUUGUAUUGACGGUACCUGUGAAGGAAGCACCGGCUAACUCCGUGCCAGCAGCCGCGGUAAUACGGGGGGUGCAAGCGUUAUUCGGAAUUAUUGGGCGUAAAGGGCGCGCAGGCGGCCGUGUCAGUCAGAUGUGAAAGGCCAGGGCUCAACCCUGGAAGUGAAUUUGAAACAGCAAGGCUUGAGUACGGUAGAGGAAAGGGGAAUUCCUGGUGUAGAGGUGAAAUUCGUAGAUAUCAGGAGGAACACCGGUGGCGAAGGCGCCUUUCUGGACCCGUACUGACGCUGAGGCGCGAAGGCGUGGGUAGCGAACAGGAUUAGAUACCCUUGUAGUC
Molecule: ribosomal RNA, 465 nt
Filed under: uncultured bacterium
Lineage: Bacteria
Description: partial 16S ribosomal RNA
Rfam family: Bacterial small subunit ribosomal RNA
Source: RNAcentral